UUCACCCAGUAGCUGGACUCACCAUCAUGGAACUUCUGCUUCUGUCUUGAAAUGUCUGGGCCACAGGUUCUACAGACUGUGUACUGGGGAGUCUACCUGCGUGUAUUUGGAGGGAAAGUUGGAGGCCGUGGAAGGUCCUGGAGAGGCAGAUAAAUAACUCUAGGCACCCAAAAAGCAACAGGGGCUGUGAAAAGACACUGGAUGGUAAUGAUCUUUUUAACCU
RNAcentral lists this long non-coding RNA (223 nucleotides) under Fukomys damarensis (Damara mole-rat). RNAcentral describes it as "lncRNA (ENSFDAG00000027481.1)". Lineage: Eukaryota; Metazoa; Chordata; Mammalia; Rodentia; Bathyergidae. The record is from RNAcentral.